CCAUAAAGUUUAAUGCUGGAUCGGUGAGUAAUGCUUGGGAACUUGCCUUUGCGAGGGGGAUAACAGUUGGAAACGACUGCUAAUACCGCAUAAUGUCUUCGGACCAAACGGGGCUUAGGCUCCGGCGCAAAGAGAGGCCCAAGUGAGAUUAGCUAGUUGGUAAGGUAACGGCUUACCAAGGCGACGAUCUCUAGCUGUUCUGAGAGGAAGAUCAGCCACACUGGGACUGAGACACGGCCCAGACUCCUACGGGAGGCAGCAGUGGGGAAUAUUGCACAAUGGGGGAAACCCUGAUGCAGCCAUGCCGCGUGUGUGAAGAAGGCCUUCGGGUUGUAAAGCACUUUCAGUUGUGAGGAAAAGUUAGUAGUUAAUACCUGCUAGCCGUGACGUUUACAACAGAAGAAGCACCGGCUAACUCCGUGCCAGCAGCCGCGGUAAUACGGAGGGUGCGAGCGUUAAUCCCAAUUUCUGGGCGUAAAGCGCACGCAAGCGGUUUGUUAAGCUAGAUGUGAAAGCCCCGGGCUCAACCUGGGAUGGUCAUUUAUAACUGGCAGACUACAAUCUUGGAAAGGGGAGUGGAAUUCCAAGUGUAUCGGUGACAUGCUUACAUGUCUGGAGGAACAUCAAUGGCGAAUGCUACUCCCUGGGCAUAGACUGACGCUCAUGUGCGAUAGUGUGGGUAUCGAACAGAGAUUAGAUACCCUGGUAAUCCACACCGUAUACGCCGCUCUACUACCUGUGUGUGCCUUUAGUGCAGUGCGUUACCUAAGCUUACACUCUAAGUAU
This 786-nucleotide ribosomal RNA is filed under the name Alteromonas sp. Its description in RNAcentral is "bacterial SSU rRNA". It matches the Rfam family "Bacterial small subunit ribosomal RNA", at positions 83 to 867 of the family's 1533-position model. The record is from RNAcentral. Lineage: Bacteria; Pseudomonadati; Pseudomonadota; Gammaproteobacteria; Alteromonadales; Alteromonadaceae.